Molecule: long non-coding RNA, 1002 nt
Filed under: Bemisia tabaci
Lineage: Eukaryota; Metazoa; Arthropoda; Insecta; Hemiptera; Aleyrodidae
Description: lncRNA ENSSWEETPG000485
Source: RNAcentral
CGAGACUCUCCGCUCCCAAUCCUCCGGAGAGCUCUCCGGAGACUUUAGCAACGCAGCUUAAAUCCGCCUUGCCUUGCAUAUAUCAGUGUUACCACCGAACACGCCACAGGGACGGAUUCUUAAAAAAUUCUUAUCGCCUGAAUUGAUCAUGAAUGCACACAAUUUUGAUGAUCCAAACAUUUUUGAGCUAUCCGCAAACUUACUGUAUUGAUACGGAUGGCUUUUAUUGCGAAAAGGAAGUUGGAAAAACAAUUCGCUGAACUGCAGAGUCAGUCUUACAGGCUAAAGGUCAAUUUUAACUCCACAACUUGAACAUCCUGCCAAACGUGGUGUCGUUCAGUCGUUCUUCUACCUAGUACCUCUAGAUGCUCUAGCCGAGGUGCUCCAUCCGUGAAUACAUCGUUUCCACAGUCUUCACACUUUUCACUUCACAAAGUGCAUAUUAACACAGUCAAACUGGAGUGGUCUUAGUCAACAAUCUCUGAUUCCACGGACUUUUCGGACUAUCGCAAAGCUUUAACCCACGAGUGAGGACCUGCAAACUAAAAGAUGCAACAAGAAGAGAAAAAUGUCUCUAGUGCUGAGGCGGGCGAAUACGCCAAGAUGUUUCCAGCAAUGCCAACCACCAAAGCCAAGAGUCAUCAAAACUCUGGAUCCAUCCAAGGCAACGGGCACAUGAGAGUUGGUCCUAGAGAAAUAUCCAAGACUCUGGUUGUACCAUCUUCAGAUCGAAGCUGGAUCAAAGUGAUAAGUUUGGUGAAGGUGAGAGAAAGCCAAAUGACAUUGCCAAAGACACCAAGACGAAAUUGAAAUGUCUAUUUCCAGAGACCAUUCCUGACUUUCGUCAUCUCUGGGACUCCUGCUAGUGUCAAUGAUGCUAUCCGCAAGAUCUUGAAACAAUACAAACGCAGGUAGGAUGUAGUGCUGAAUUCUUUAAAAAUGUAGUGUCAAUAACUCGUGAAGCCUGACGUAUGUAAAUAGCGGACGCCGUGUUUUUAGUCU